This 4822-nucleotide long non-coding RNA is filed under the name Theobroma cacao (cacao). RNAcentral's name for it is "long non-coding RNA (TCAC_LNC002682)". Lineage: Eukaryota; Viridiplantae; Streptophyta; Magnoliopsida; Malvales; Malvaceae. The record is from RNAcentral.
UCUUUCACCUUGGAGUACAUUAAUCUCAACACUUGUCUGGCCAUCAGCAGCUGUUGAGAACACUUCUGAUUUGGAGGUGGGCAAUGUAGUGUUUCUUGGGAUGAUUUUGGUCAUAACACCACCCAGAGUUUCCAGUCCAAGUGACAAAGGUGUCACAUCCAAAAGCACAAUAUCACUGACAUCUCCAGCUAAAACACCGGCCUACAACCAAUUGGGGAGACAGAAGGGAAAACAUUAAAACUAAAACUUAUAAAGAUAAUAAGACAAGUUGCUGCAAAAUUUUAAUCCCAAAAUAUCUAUAAACCAAUCCUGUCACAUUCAACUGCCAAAAGGAACAAGAACUAUAGAGCUAUCAAAAUGACUUAAACAGUACUAAACCCACCUGAACUGCAGCCCCCAGGGCAACAACUUCAUCUGGAUUGACGGUCACAUUAGGUUCCUUGCUGGUCAUCUUCCUCACAAGUUCCUGAACAGCAGGCAUACGUGUUGAUCCACCAACAAGAAUUACCUCAUCUAUGUCUUUAAAAGAAAGUUUUGCAUCCCUCAAGGAAUUCUCCACUGGUGUCUUCAGCCUACAAAACAUAUUAAACCCAAAAUCUUCAGUGAUUAAGCCAAAAAAUUAAGGAACAAUAUAAGCAGAAUAUUCUUUUUGUUUUGGAAAUGAAAAGAAUAGAAACAGAUUGCAAUAAUAUAAAUCUACCUGUCAAGCAGGUCUGAGCAGAGUUCCUCAAACUUAACCCUGGUAAGAGUUGUCUCAAUGUGUUUGGGGCCUUCUGCAGUGGCAGUAAUGAAAGGUAAACUGGAACCAGAAAAGAAAAAUCUGUAUUACUAAACACCACAUUGGAAAUGCACAAAUAAAAUCAUGGGCACCAAGAAAAGAGUUGGAGAGAGAUGCCUUAUGUUUGUUUGAGUCAAAGAUGAUAACUCCAUUUUAGCUUUCUCGGCUGUCUCAGUUAACCGCUGAAGAGCUUGUUUGUCUUUCAAAAGAUCUAUGCCUUCAUCUCUCUUAAAGUUGUCAGCAAGCCAAUCAACAAUUCGCUGCACAUACAAUAUGACACAUAGUGCUUACUUCAACACCACAAGAUACAACAAAGACAAAGGAGAAUGGUCGUUCAUCUAAGAAUACCUACCUUAUCAAAGUCAUCACCACCCAAAUGUGUGUCUCCAGAUGUAGAGAGCACCUCAAACACUCCAUCACCAACCUCAAGCACUGUAACAUAUUAACAAACAGACAAUAAAAAAUUUGUUGGAUCUUCACCAAAUAAAAGAUAAAUGAAGUCAACCAAUAGUCAUCAGUCUUCAGAACAAAUGACGACCAAACCAAGGAAGCAUUCCCCAAGCACAUCACUGACUAUUUCACCUAGUAACACAUAAGCAUUGUAAGACAUAACUUAAGUAUACAUGCAGAUAGCUAAGUUCUCAAAUGGCCAGCAUACCUGAAACGUCAAAAGUACCACCUCCAAGAUCAAACACAAGGAUGGUUUCAUUGUUCUUCUUCUCAAACCCAUAUGCCAGAGAGGCAGCAGUAGGUUCAUUGAUAAUCCGGAGAACUUCUAGCCCAGCAAUUCGACCAGCAUCCUUUGUUGCUGUCCUUUGGGAAUCAUUGAAGUAAGCAGGGACAGUAACAACAGCUUUGGUCACUUUAUCAUUCAAAAAUUUUGAAGCAUCAUCAACGAGCUUUCUCAAGACCUAUAUCCAAAAUUACAAAUAUCUCGUUAGCAAUAGAAAGAUUCUAAAUUACUAACAGCAAAAGUGCAAAGUUCUUACACUUAGCUUAUAAAUGCCAUUAUGAAGUACCAACGAAUUGAGAGGCCACAGCACGAUGUUAAUUAUGCAUUUAGUCGAUAUGCGCAAUAACAGAUUUUUAUCCAAACCAAAGUUUAUCCACGACGCAUUCAUCGCUAAUAAACUCAAAUUCCGUGAAUUUAGUUCCAUAAACAUUUCCAAUUUCUCAAAUUGCCAAGCCGACAUAACAAAGACAAUCCAAUUGAUGACUGAACAUAACAGCAAAAGUACGAAGGCAACAGUAUACUAUACCUGAGCUGAAAUUUCCUCAGCAGCGAAUUGUUUACCGAUGGCAGGACACUCAAGCUUAACAUUCCCGUUCUCAUCUCUAACUACCCUGUAAGAGACCUGUUUAGAUUCCUCAUCCACUUCCGACAUCUUUCUUCCUAUAAACCUCUUCACAGAGAAAAACGUAUUCUCAGGGUUCACGACGGCUUGCCGUUUCGCAAUCUGACCAACCAACCUAUCCCCAUUCUUGGUAUAAGCCACCACAGACGGCGUCGUUCUCUGCCCUUCCGCGUUAGUAACUAUAGUCGGCUUCCCUCCUUCCAUGGCCGCCACGGCCGAGUUGGUGGUCCCAAGAUCGAUACCGACCACUUUCUCGUUCACUACUCUGACCGGCCCAACAUUGCACCGCUUACCGUUGGCUUUAGCCAGUCGUAAGAAGGCGGCGUUUAACGAAGAUGUUUUUCCCAGUCUUUGACCAAAGAAAACCGUUCUGGGUGAAUGGUGGUUGGGUUUUCUCGAGGAUGCGAAGCCCAUACCACCAAGGACAUGGAUUUGGGCAGUGGAGGAAGCCAUUUUUCUAAGUGUAAGUAAAGAUAAGAAUUAACAAAGGAUACGUAAGCCUUUCGUUCAAUAAACCGAGAGAAAAGGAAACCCUAACUCCCAGAAGGAACGAGAGUGAGAAGAUUGGAAAGGCAAAGGCAAACGCUUCAGCUUUGUCGUUGGCUUAUGACUGGAAAGAAGAUAAGAGAAAGAGGGAGAAGGGUUUAGACCUUUUUUAGGGGAAGGAGGAACAAGGUAGAGCGUCUGCGUGCGCUGUGUGUGAGGGUUAGGUGGUGACACGUGGACAAUUCUAGAAUCAUCGGAUGCGCAGGAUUGACGACCGUUCGAUUUGAUACUUUGUCGCUGCUGCUUAGAUUGAAGGAGAGAUCCAGGUGGUUGGAGAAGUUGGGCUCAAUUCCACCCUUUGUUGUUUCAAAGACGGCCUACUCUUGAUCAAAGCCUUUCAAGCCCAAUGAAACUCUUGAUCAAUUAGAUUAAAUUUAAAGAGAUUAUCGAAUCAAUUAAAUUAAAUUAAUUUGAUUGAUUCGGUUAUAAAUAAAAAAAAUUAAAAUUUAUAAAUUUUACUUAUAAUUAUAAAAUAUACAAAUAAUCUAAAUAUAAAUAAAUUAAUACAAAUUAAUAUAAAUAAAUAAAAUUUAUUAAACAUAUAUAAAUCAUAACAUUUAAUAUUAACAACUUCAACUUUUUUUAAAUUAACAUCCAAAACUACAAGAGUUAAAAAAUAACCUUUAUUUUCCCCCUUAUAUAUAUAUAUAUAUAUAUAUAUAUAUAUAUAUAUAUAUAUAUANNNNNNNNNNNNNNNNNNNNNNNNNCUUAUAUUAUAUAUAUAUAUAUAUAUAAUCAUAUAUAUAUAUAUAUAAACCUUUAUCCUUUCACAUAAGUGUCACAACCCAGUAUGAAACCAUGUUCCACACAAAAGACUUACUAGACAAGACUUUCCAAUUAUAUAUAUAUCAUUUAGUACUGUAACCCAAUUCAAUAUAUUCAUAAAUAUAUAAAUAUUUAUACUUAAAGUCGAAAGUAAUCUUUCCAGAGGUACGUGGCUUUGAUUAAUAGAAACAAGACCACCGUUCGGUAACAAGAGUUCGCAAUUGUAAACGGUAACAAUCAUAUAUUAAGAAACUUUUCUGCCUUGUCUGAGGGAGCCUGGUCAUCAGCUAGACCGCACCUGCUAAAAUUUGCUAGUUUACGUUUAGUAAUGUUCUUCUUUCUGGAAAACAGGACCAAGAAGAAAACCUCAUACCUCAUACACAGUUCAAAAACCCAGCUUUUCACUUACUUUCAGUGAAAUCUACAUCAAUUACAUCACCACCGGUCCCCUUGUUUGAUGAAUCUGAAGGCCCAGUUUCACCACCAGGUUCAGACCCAGCACUGCCUCCAGCAUCAGGUUGGUUGUAGAGCGACUGGCCAAGCUGCAUAACUUCUUGGUUGAGGGCAGCCAUGGCAUCCUUCAUACCUUGAGUUGAGCCCCCUGAUGCAUCCCUGAGCUCUUGCAGUUUUGCCUUUACUUUCUCUUUGACUGGACCGGGAACCUUGUCUCCAAGCUCUUUCAGCUGCUUCUGUGUCCGGUAGAUAACAGAGUCAGCCUGGUUCUUCGCGUCUAUAGCAUCUCUUCUCUCCUUAUCCUCCUUUGCAAAUCUCUCAGCUUUCUUCACCAUUGUAUCAACCUGCAUAUAUUAAAGACAGAAUUAGGUAAUGGUUUAUUAAACAAAGAAGGCAUUUCCAGUGCUUCCAUCCAAUGCAAAUACAUAAGUUCGUGCCACCAAGUAAGUGCAAAUAAUUUUUGGAAUGUCUUACAAGCAAUUCAUCUGAGCAACACUUGGUAUACAUCCCAACAUUAAAUGCAUACCUCAUCACUGGGCAAGGUACUAGCACCAGUAAUAGUGAUGUCUUGCUUCUUCCCGGUGCCCUUAUCAACAGCAGAGACAGAGAGUAUACCAUUGGCAUCAAUGUUAAAUUUGACUUCAAUCUGUGGAAUCCCACGAGGUGCUGGUGGGAUACCAUCAAGACAGAAGCUGCCAAGAGAUUUGUUAUCCCUAACAAACUCUCUUUCACCCUGGAGUACAUUAAUCUCAACACUUGUCUGGCCAUCAGCAGCUGUUGAGAACACUGCUGAUUUGGAGGUUGGCACUGUAGUGUUUCUAGGGAUGAUUCUGGUCAUAACACCACCACGUGUUUCAAGACCAAGUGACAAAGGUGUCACAUCCAAAAGCACAACAUCAGUGACAUCUCCAGCUAAAACACCGGC